UAUUGAUCUUCCUCUUUAUAGAUUGGGCAC
This 30-nucleotide non-coding RNA is filed under the name Mus musculus (house mouse). Lineage: Eukaryota; Metazoa; Chordata; Mammalia; Rodentia; Muridae. The record is from RNAcentral.